UAGAGUUUGAUCCUGGCUCAGAUUGAACGCUGGCGGCAUGCUUUACACAUGCAAGUCGAACGGCAGCGCGGGGCAACCUGGCGGCGAGUGGCGAACGGGUGAGUAAUAUAUCGGAACGUACCCAAGAGUGGGGGAUAACGUAGCGAAAGUUACGCUAAUACCGCAUACGAUCUACGGAUGAAAGUGGGGGACCGCAAGGCCUCAUGCUCCUGGAGCGGCCGAUAUCUGAUUAGCUAGUUGGUGAGGUAAAGGCUCACCAAGGCGACGAUCAGUAGCUGGUCUGAGAGGACGACCAGCCACACUGGGACUGAGACACGGCCCAGACUCCUACGGGAGGCAGCAGUGGGGAAUUUUGGACAAUGGGCGCAAGCCUGAUCCAGCAAUGCCGCGUGAGUGAAGAAGGCCUUCGGGUUGUAAAGCUCUUUUGUCAGGGAAGAAACGGCUCCGGCUAAUAUCCGGGGCUAAUGACGGUACCUGAAGAAUAAGCACCGGCUAACUACGUGCCAGCAGCCGCGGUAAUACGUAGGGUGCAAGCGUUAAUCGGAAUUGCUGGGCGUAAAGCGUGCGCAGGCGGUUUUGUAAGUCUGUCGUGAAAGCCCCGGGCUUAACCUGGGAAUUGCGAUGGAGACUGCAAGGCUUGAAUCUGGCAGAGGGGGGUAGAAUUCCACGUGUAGCAGUGAAA
Molecule: ribosomal RNA, 682 nt
Filed under: bacterium enrichment culture clone ADE_47
Lineage: Bacteria
Description: bacterial SSU rRNA
Rfam family: Bacterial small subunit ribosomal RNA
Source: RNAcentral